RNAcentral lists this ribosomal RNA (499 nucleotides) under uncultured Glomeromycotina. RNAcentral's name for it is "partial small subunit ribosomal RNA". It matches the Rfam family "Eukaryotic small subunit ribosomal RNA", at positions 591 to 1092 of the family's 1831-position model. The record is from RNAcentral. Lineage: Eukaryota; Fungi; Glomeromycota.
CCAAUAGCGUAUAUUAAAGUUGUUGCAGUUAAAAAGCUCGUAGUUGAAUUUCGGGAUCAAUACGUCGGUCGUGCUUCGGUACGUACUGGCGUAAUUGAUUUCUCCCUUCUGACGAACCAUGAUGUCAUUAACUUGGUGUCAUGGGAAAUCAGGACUGUUACUUUGAAAAAAUUAGAGUGUUUAAAGCAGGUUCACGCUUGAAUACAUUAGCAUGGAAUAAUGAAAUAGGACGUUCGAUCCUAUUUUGUUGGUUUUUAGGAUCAACGUAAUGAUUAAUAGGGAUAGUUGGGGGCAUUAGUAUUCAAUUGUCAGAGGUGAAAUUCUUGGAUUUAUUGAAGACUAACUACUGCGAAAGCAUUUGCCAAGGAUGUUUUCAUUAAUCAAGAACGAAAGUUAGGGGAUCGAAGACGAUCAGAUACCGUCGUAGUCUUAACCAUAAACUAUGCCGACUAGGGAUCGGAUGAUGUUAAUUUUUUAAUGACUCAUUCGGCGCCUUACG